AGUGAACGCUGGCGGUAGGCCUAACACAUGCAAGUCGAACGGCAGCACAGUAAGAGCUUGCUCUUACGGGUGGCGAGUGGCGGACGGGUGAGGAAUACAUCGGAAUCUACUUUUUCGUGGGGGAUAACGUAGGGAAACUUACGCUAAUACCGCAUACGACCUACGGGUGAAAGCAGGGGAUCUUCGGACCUUGCGCGAUUGAAUGAGCCGAUGUCGGAUUAGCUAGUUGGCGGGGUAAAGGCCCACCAAGGCGACGAUCCGUAGCUGGUCUGAGAGGAUGAUCAGCCACACUGGAACUUAGACACGGUCCAGACUCCUACGGGAGGCAGCAGUGGGGAAUAUUGGACAAUGGGCGCAAGCCUGAUCCAGCCAUACCGCGUGGGUGAAGAAGGCCUUCGGGUUGUAAAGCCCUUUCGUUGGGAAAGAAAAGCAGCAGGUUAAUACCCCGCUGUUCUGACGGUACCCAAAGAAUAAGCACCGGCUAACUUCGUG
Molecule: ribosomal RNA, 492 nt
Filed under: uncultured bacterium
Lineage: Bacteria
Description: partial 16S ribosomal RNA
Rfam family: Bacterial small subunit ribosomal RNA
Source: RNAcentral